RNAcentral lists this ribosomal RNA (253 nucleotides) under uncultured bacterium. RNAcentral's name for it is "partial 16S ribosomal RNA". It matches the Rfam family "Bacterial small subunit ribosomal RNA", at positions 524 to 776 of the family's 1533-position model. The record is from RNAcentral.
UACGUAGGUGGCAAGCGUUAUCCGGAUUUAUUGGGCGUAAAGAGAACGCAGGCGGUCUUUUAAGUCUGAUGUGAAAGCCUUCGGCUUAACCGGAGUAGUGCACUGGAAACUGGGAGACUUGAGUGCAGAAGAGGAGAGUGGAACUCCAUGUGUAGCGGUGAAAUGCGUAGAUAUAUGGAAGAACACCAGUGGCGAAAGCGGCUCUCUGGUCUGUAACUGACGCUGAGGUUCGAAAGCGUGGGUAGCAAACAGG